AAGUCGAACGGCUCUUCGGAGCAGUGGCGCACGGGUGAGUAACGCGUGGGAACCUACCCUGAGGUUCGGAAUAACGGCUGGAAACGGCCGCUAAUACCGGAUGUGUCCUAUGGGGCAAAGGCUUGCCGCCUUGGGAGGGGCCCGCGUCCGAUUAGCUUGUUGGUGAGGUAACGGCUCACCAAGGCGUCGAUCGGUAGCCGGCCUGAGAGGGUGACCGGCCACACUGGGACUGAGACACGGCCCAGACUCC
This 250-nucleotide ribosomal RNA is filed under the name uncultured bacterium. RNAcentral describes it as "partial 16S ribosomal RNA". It matches the Rfam family "Bacterial small subunit ribosomal RNA", at positions 59 to 339 of the family's 1533-position model. The record is from RNAcentral.